AAUCAACGCUGGCGGCGUGCCUAACACAUGCAAGUCGAACGCGAAAGUGGAGCAAUCCAUGAGUAGAGUGGCAAACGGGUGAGUAACACGUGGGUGACCUGCCUUCGAGCGGGGGAUAACGUCCCGAAAGGGACGCUAAUACCGCAUAACAUCCCGCCUUUUAAGAGGUGGUGAUCAAAGCCGGGGAUCGCAAGACCUGGCACUUGAAGAGGGGCCCGCGCCUGAUUAGCUAGNGGUGGGGUAAUGGCCUACCAAGGCAACGAUCAGUAUCCGGCCUGAGAGGGCGGACGGACACACUGGGACUGAGACACGGCCCAGACUCCUACGGGAGGCAGCAGUGGGGAAUUUUGGACAAUGGGCGCAAGCCUGAUCCAGCCA
RNAcentral lists this ribosomal RNA (378 nucleotides) under uncultured bacterium. RNAcentral's name for it is "bacterial SSU rRNA". It matches the Rfam family "Bacterial small subunit ribosomal RNA", at positions 32 to 394 of the family's 1533-position model. The record is from RNAcentral.